UACGGAGGGUGCAAGCGUUGUUCGGAUUUAUUGGGCGUAAAGGGCGUGUAGGCGGUCUCGUAAGUCUGAUGUGAAAGCCCCGGGCUCAACCCGGGAAGUGCAUUGGAAACUGUGAGACUUGAGUACGGGAGAGGGCAGUGGAAUUCCUAGUGUAGGAGUGAAAUCCGUAGAUAUUAGGAGGAACACCGGUGGCGGAGGCGGCUGCCUGGACCGAUACUGACGCUGAGACGCGAAAGCGUGGGGAGCAAACAGG
This 253-nucleotide ribosomal RNA is filed under the name uncultured bacterium. RNAcentral's name for it is "partial 16S ribosomal RNA". It matches the Rfam family "Bacterial small subunit ribosomal RNA", at positions 524 to 776 of the family's 1533-position model. The record is from RNAcentral.